RNAcentral lists this transfer RNA (71 nucleotides) under Ovis aries (sheep). It matches the Rfam family "tRNA". Rfam says of the family: Transfer RNA (tRNA) molecules are approximately 80 nucleotides in length. Their secondary structure includes four short double-helical elements and three loops (D, anti-codon, and T loops). The record is from Rfam by way of RNAcentral. Lineage: Eukaryota; Metazoa; Chordata; Mammalia; Artiodactyla; Bovidae.
UCCCUGGUGGCUCAGAUGGUAAAGCAUCUGCCUGCAAUGCGGGAGACCAGGUUCAAUCCCUGGGUCGGGAA